RNAcentral lists this unclassified non-coding RNA (395 nucleotides) under uncultured fungus. RNAcentral's name for it is "sequence contains ITS1". The stretch from base 1 to 107 matches the Rfam family "5.8S ribosomal RNA", at positions 50 to 154 of the family's 154-position model. Lineage: Eukaryota; Fungi. The record is from RNAcentral.
CAACUGUGCGAAGCAUGGCGAAUUGCAGGGCUUCAUGAAACCGCUACUUGUCGAACGCAUAUUGCGGCCCUGGCUCACGGGUCAGGGCCACAUCCACCUGAGGGUCGAAGAGUCUCGUUGCUCCUCGGAGCGAUUGUCCACUGGCCGGCGAAAAGUCGGGCUUUGGACUGAAUGAUUUUUACUUCGAGGCCUUGACGAUCUUUCGGUCUCGGGGCUCUGGGAACUGCUCCUAUCAGUUGCCUGUUGGUGGCUGCGGAGUUGGUCUGAUUUCUAAACCAACCCGCGCUGCCUUCGGGUCUGGGGCGGAGUCCCAUGGGUUCUGAGCCAGAGUAAAGUCUCGUGUCCUCAUCUCUCUUUUUGACCUCAGGUUGGGUGAGGUUACCCGCCGAAUUUAA